This 429-nucleotide ribosomal RNA is filed under the name uncultured Pelagibacteraceae bacterium. RNAcentral's name for it is "bacterial SSU rRNA". It matches the Rfam family "Bacterial small subunit ribosomal RNA", at positions 29 to 505 of the family's 1533-position model. Lineage: Bacteria; Pseudomonadati; Pseudomonadota; Alphaproteobacteria; Candidatus Pelagibacterales; Candidatus Pelagibacteraceae. The record is from RNAcentral.
AACGAACGCUGGCGGCAGGCCUAACACAUGCAAGUCGAGCGCGCCUUCGGGUGAGCGGCAGACGGGUGCGUAACAUGUGGGAAUCUGCCUUUUGGUUCGGAACAACACGGGGAAACUUGUGCUAAUACCGGAUAAGUCCUAACGGAGAAAGAUUUAUCGCCGAAAGAUGAGCCCGCACUAGAUUAGCUUGUUGGUAAGGUAAAAGCUUACCAAGGCUACGAUCUAUAGCUGAUUUGAGAGGAUGAUCAGCCACACUGGGACUGAGACACGGCCCAGACUCCUACGGGAGGCAGCAGUGGGGAAUCUUGCACAAUGGAGGAAACUCUGAUGCAGCGAUGCCGCGUGAGUGAAGAAGGCCCUUGGGUUGUAAAGCUCUUUUGUCGGGAAAGAUAAUGACUGUACCCGAAGAAUAAGGUCCGGCUAACUUCG